ACAUACUCAGUUGUUUGAGAUAGUGUUGCUAUGACAACUUUAAAUUGAAACAACAUUGAUUUUGUUUCAUCUUGAUGAGGCUUUAAAUACACUGAAAGAAAAGUCAAUGUGUAAACACGAUAAAAUACAUUACGAAUCAACACUUAGACAAAUUUUGAGCUAAAAAUGUAAAAAAAGUUUGUUUAAGUCCAGGAAGGCAAACGGUAUUUGAAAUUUUUAAAAGGUCAAAGCGCGAAGUCCCAUGACUUGCCUUCAAGUGGCGCGCUUUGUUAAGUGGCUUAUUUUGUUUUAAUCGAAAUAAUUCAUGAAAUGAUAAGGGCAUGGUAUAAUGUAUCAAUUCAUAUCAGAUUUUUUGGUAUUGUAAAGUAACAAGCAGCAUGCUGAAGAUGGAAUUGGUUCAACACCAUUUCAAUUUACGUUUGGUAAAAACACAUCAAGAAUUAUUAUUUAGUUGAUUAA
This is a long non-coding RNA of Hydractinia symbiolongicarpus, 459 nucleotides long. RefSeq lists it as uncharacterized. The transcript is spliced from 2 exons. Lineage: Eukaryota; Metazoa; Cnidaria; Hydrozoa; Anthoathecata; Hydractiniidae. The record is from RefSeq and is a predicted model, not a curated record.